Triticum aestivum (bread wheat) is the source of this 1638-nucleotide RNA transcript. RefSeq lists it as uncharacterized. The transcript is spliced from 13 exons. The record is from RefSeq and is a predicted model, not a curated record. NCBI's taxonomy places the organism in Eukaryota, Viridiplantae, Streptophyta, Magnoliopsida, Poales, Poaceae.
CCGGGCCGCGCCUGCUCUCCUCUUCCCUUCCUCGUGGGGGCAAAAGAGGGUCAGCAGCAAGCGGAGCAAAGGCUCGUGUCUCUCGCCUGCGGAAAGAGAGGGCCGAUAGAGGCACACGCGGCCGCCGGCGAUGCUUUCGGCCCGGAGCCUGCGGAAGGCGUCCGUCCCGCCGUCACUUCUCUCCGACCCCUCGCCCGGCUGCCUCCAGCCCACGCGCCUCGCCGUCCACGUCAAUGGCGACGGCGGCUCCUGCUCCGCGUACUUCGCCUCCGGUUGCCGCGUCUACAAGCUCGAGAUAUCCAUGGGAGAGGAGAUACUGUCAAGAGGAAAAGAGAGCCUGUUGAUUCCUAUCAAUGCACAGGUCAUAAGCUCGUCGGUUGUGGACCGCUGCCCGCAUCGUUCGGAGAUUCAGAGUGUAGUUCUGGCUGAGGGUGAAGGUGAUAGCUGCUUGAUUUUGGGAACCGUCGACUCUUACGGUCACCUCAUUGUAUCCCGUUUGGACACUGUGGCUGAGGACAUCGACAGGGCAUCCUAUUCAGUACCACCUCAUGAUAGUGGUGUCGGAGAAGGAGGUUGGGCUGGGUUGUGUUUUAGUCCAACACACCAAUCCACGGUAGCUGUUGCUCGUGAAUUGUGUAAGAGCAUUGAUAUCUAUGAUCAAGAUAUUCAUAUUCGGAGUUUACGUACUUUAUGGUACCCAUCUUCAGUAAGGUUUCCUCAAUACUUUCCUCAAGGGAGUGAAAGUAGCUCGAUAUUGGCAAUUACUGAAGGUCCUCAGCUGAGCAUCUGGGACUUCAGAAUGCAUAACAAUGGUGGAUGUGUACAACGUGUGUCUGGUCCUAUUGGAGGCAUACUAUACUCUCUCUGUACCUCUCCUUCAGGACUGAUUGCUGUUGGUGGAACUGAUCGUGCUGUCACAAUCUAUGAUCCUCGCAGGUGGUCGGCCUUAUCAAGAUGGGUGGGCUGCUCGAAGUAUGAGCAAUGGAGUUCUCAGCUAGUGUAUUUGCCUUCAUACCCAGAUUACUGGUCUUUCGUUUUCGUCAGUGGACCAAUCCUUCAUGUACGUCCAAGGUGUUGAUUAUGAGAUUACUUGUGGACGCUGGAGAGAAAGUAAGCGCGCAUUCUCAUUUCGAGGUGAUUCCAACUGGCUGGGCUUUUCAAAGUGUGCAAACACAGAUGUGGUUGCUGGGUGGUGCGAGUCUGGAAGUAUCUUCGUUGCCGAUGUUAGGCAGGAUCUUCUCUCGGUAAUUGGGGUUUAAGGCAGCGGCUGCGAGAGUGCGCGAGCAUCCUUUGAUCACACAUCCAAGAACCAUUGUGUAUUCUCCCCCAUUCUUAUAGACCAACCAUGUUGAGCCCUAUGUAUACGUGGGUACUCUAAUUUCCAGGCACAACCUGUAUCAUGUAGCGGUUAUCCUUGGGGGCGGAAGUUUCUUGUUGGUUCUUUUUUUCGAAAUGGCAGUUAUCCUGCAUUCAUUAAAAAGAAAAGAGUUGCUCGGUUAAUUCGGGAAAACCGGGCGAAAACCAAAAGAGUUUCUUGUUGGUUCUUGUAUCAUCAGAGUUAUGCUGAUAAGCUUUGCUGUACUACAAUACAAAUGCUAAAUUUGAGCGUGCCUAUGGUCGCUUGCUUAUUUUGUUUCA